Molecule: long non-coding RNA, 556 nt
Filed under: Homo sapiens (human)
Lineage: Eukaryota; Metazoa; Chordata; Mammalia; Primates; Hominidae
Description: non-protein coding lnc-ZNF569-1:1
Source: RNAcentral
GUCGCGGCGUCGCAGUGUCUGGCAGCAGCGGUGCAGCUCCGCGCAGGGUUUGUAACACGGCCUCCUCCCCACCAGGUCCUCCCACACUGGCCUCUCCCCGGCCUUCCAGAGAGCCCGAAAGUCCGGAUUCCCUGCAGCUCCGAGCCUGGCCCGGUCACAGGGACGGGGCCCAGCGUCACACUACACGGGCUGGUGUGGAAGUGCGCAGGCACAAGCGCUCUGCGCGCCUCCCUUAGCAACCAGGGCGGGGAGUUGAGAAUCGCAGGUUGGCCGCAGGGAAAAGGACGCGCAAACAGUGAAGCCAGUCCCGCCCGGGUGAGCCGCGGGGGCCUCUGGGAAGCGUCGCCCCUGGUGUAACGGACCGAGACUUGUGGCGCUCUCAGCCACCGACAGCGCCGGCCUCAGUGCCGCCUCUGUCCCAGCCCGCGCCGGCUCUGCCACUUUGGCAGCGUUAAGUGUGGAAUCGGGGCCUGUGUCCGCGGGCUUGGUGUAUGAACCUGCGUGCAAACGUGCAUGACAGUGGGAUCUUGAAUGAAUGAAAAACUGUGGAUACAAG